This 468-nucleotide ribosomal RNA is filed under the name uncultured bacterium. RNAcentral's name for it is "partial 16S ribosomal RNA". It matches the Rfam family "Bacterial small subunit ribosomal RNA", at positions 28 to 507 of the family's 1533-position model. The record is from RNAcentral.
GACGAACGCUGGCGGCGUGCUUAACACAUGCAAGUCGAACGGAAAGGCCCUGCUUUUGUGGGGUGCUCGAGUGGCGAACGGGUGAGUAACACGUGAGUAACCUGCCCUUGACUUUGGGAUAACUUCAGGAAACUGGGGCUAAUACCGGAUAGGAGCUCCUGCUGCAUGGUGGGGGUUGGAAAGUUUCGGCGGUUGGGGAUGGACUCGCGGCUUAUCAGCUUGUUGGUGGGGUAGUGGUUUACCAAGGCUUUGACGGGUAGCCGGCCCGAGAGGGUGACCGGCCACAUUGGGACUGAGAGACGGCCCAGACUCCUACGGGAGGCAGCAGGGGGGAAUAUUGCACAAUGGGCGGAAGCCUGAUGCAGCAACGCCGCGUGCGGGAUGACGGCCUUCGGGUUGUAAACCGCUUUCGCCUGUGACGAAGCGUGAGUGACGGUAAUGGGUAAAGAAGCACCGGCUAACUACGUG